AGUUAAUGAGCUUGAAUAAGCAUAUGUUUUGAAAACAUAAUAUAGAAAUAACUAAUUUUCUAUUGACUU
RNAcentral lists this transfer RNA (69 nucleotides) under Boreoheptagyia alulasetosa. RNAcentral's name for it is "tRNA-Ser". The record is from RNAcentral. Lineage: Eukaryota; Metazoa; Arthropoda; Insecta; Diptera; Chironomidae.